Molecule: ribosomal RNA, 305 nt
Filed under: uncultured bacterium
Lineage: Bacteria
Description: bacterial SSU rRNA
Rfam family: Bacterial small subunit ribosomal RNA
Source: RNAcentral
CCCUACGGGGCGCAGCAGUGGGGGAUAUUGCACAAUGGAGGGAACUCUGAUGCAGCGACGCCGCGUGAGGGAAGAAGGUUUUCGGAUUGUAAACCUCUGUCUUCGGUGACGAAACGAGACGGUAGCCGAGGAGGAAGCCACGGCUAACUACGUGCCAGCAGCCGCGGUAAUACGUAGGUGGCAAGCGUUGUCCGGAUUUACUGGGUGUAAAGGGCGUGUAGCCGGGCCGGCAAGUCAGAUGUGAAAUCCCAAGGCUCAACCUUGGAACUGCAUUUGAAACUGUUGGUCUUGAGUAUCGGAGAGGC